UCGGGAAUUUUGGACAAUGGGCGAAAGCCUGAUCCAGCAAUGCCGCGUGAGUGAAGAAGGCCUUCGGGUUGUAAAGCUCUUUUGUCAGGGAAGAAACGGUGAGAGCUAAUAUCUCUUGCUAAUGACGGUACCUGAAGAAUAAGCACCGGCUAACUACGUGCCAGCAGCCGCGGUAAUACGUAGGGUGCAAGCGUUAAUCGGAAUUACUGGGCGUAAAGCGUGCGCAGGCGGUUUUGUAAGUCUGAUGUGAAAUCCCCGGGCUCAACCUGGGAAUUGCGAUGGAGACUGCAAGGCUAGAAUCUGGCAGAGGGGGGUAGAAUUCCACGUGUAGCAGUGAAAUGCGUAGAGAUGUGGAGGAACACCGAUGGCGAAGGCAGCCCCCUGGGUCAAGAUUGACGCUCAUGCACGAAAGCGUGGGGAGCAAACAGGAUUAGAUACCCCUGUAGUCCCUGAGCGGGCUGGCAAGGCGCAU
This 472-nucleotide ribosomal RNA is filed under the name uncultured bacterium. RNAcentral describes it as "bacterial SSU rRNA". It matches the Rfam family "Bacterial small subunit ribosomal RNA", at positions 355 to 825 of the family's 1533-position model. The record is from RNAcentral.